RNAcentral lists this ribosomal RNA (229 nucleotides) under uncultured bacterium. Its description in RNAcentral is "partial 16S ribosomal RNA". It matches the Rfam family "Bacterial small subunit ribosomal RNA", at positions 104 to 334 of the family's 1533-position model. The record is from RNAcentral.
CGGGGUGAGUAAUGUCUGGGAAACUGCCCGAUGGAGGGGGAUAACUACUGGAAACGGUAGCUAAUACCGCAUAACGUCGCAAGACCAAAGUGGGGGACCUUCGGGCCUCAUGCCAUCAGAUGUGCCCAGAUGGGAUUAGCUAGUAGGUGGGGUAACGGCUCACCUAGGCGACGAUCCCUAGCUGGUCUGAGAGGAUGACCAGCCACACUGGAACUGAGACACGGUCCAG